UCAGGUGGAAGUCCAUCCGGCAGCAGACACAAGGCAGUCGAUUGCCACGUGGUAAUUUUGCUAAUGAAAUUGGAAAUAUGAUAAGGUGUUACCAAUUACUGAGACAGGCUUCCAGGUCGAAGCAAAGGCAUCUCUCUGCGAUUAAGGAAAGACGAAGAAGUGUCAAUGGAAUGAGAUUGAGAUGAAUAGCCAGCACCAGAUGAAAUUUCUUUUUUCGGAUUGGACUCGGCUGGAGUGAGAUCGAUAGUCGGAAAUAGCUGGACUUACUUAAGGGCUUGACUUGCGGUUCCAGGCUUAGAUGUCCCAGUUCUGCUCUUCCAACUGCUAAUGGAUGGGGAACGCACAAGGCAUUGCUUGGCAGGUGCCUAGCCACACUACGAGAAGGCUAUCGAAUCACUGAGGGAAUAGGUCACUCAAGCAGGAGAAGAGUUCGCCAAGAGCUACCCUUUUGAAGUGAAGAGAAGAAGGUUCAAACUUUCAUUAUGUCCUCGAGAUGCAUCAACCCAAUCCGUUGACGAUAUAGUGGUGAAGUAAGGCAAAGGGGAGAAUCACAUUGCAGUAUUGGAUCGGGUCUUCGAGAGGUGUCGAGCGAAUAAGGCCUCAUUUGGUUUGGCAUUUCAGUGUGUUGCGGUUAAUUCUUUUUUUUUUUUUCUCAAUCUCACCAUUAUACAUGUUUGGAUAACACAAGUAUGAUGGUUUGAGUGUGUGGACGGCACCGACACCAGUUGAAGACUAGACCUUUGGGGUUUAGUGGAUAACUGGUAUCCCAAUAAUUCUCUUUUAUCCUCAUUAUUUUUUUUUCCAUUCCUAUCAUACUAUAAAUGAGUUUUUAUUUUUAAAAAAUCCAUAAAUUCUAUUUGUUUUCUUCACCUCUUUUUCUUUCUCCCAUUUUCCCUAAACCAUCCCAAAUUCCUAACCCUAAAUUGCCUAUUCUCUAUAUUGUUGCUCCUUCCUCUUGUCACCUGUUCCAUUUUGUUGUCUCCUUCAAUUUGCAUGGAAGCUGUUGUUGAUUUGAAGCUAUUCGAUGAAUGGGGUUUUAAGAAUUGAAAGGUAUGAUUCCUUUAUUUUUUACCUAAAAUCAAAAUUGCUUUGGAUUAAUCUGUUUUGUUAUUAUUUGAUUUGUUCAAAAGUUAAGGUUUAAAUGCAAAAUACUAGCAGCAACUUGAUACCUCUUCAAUCUUUUGGCAAACAAGUUUUCCAAAGCUAAAAUUUGACACAACCAGCAACUUUGUUUCAACCUUAUCCAUUUCAAUGUUUACCUUUAGUACAUCUUCAAACUAAUUCUCUACUUCUUUCUUCACCACUUUUCUACAACGAAUCUCUAUUUCCUUUCUCAAUUCUUGGUCUUGCUUUCGAGUCUUUACUUCAGCCAAUCUUCUUCUAAGAUCAUUCAUAUUUUCUUCAAGUUUUUGGUGAUGAUCUAUGUAUCUAGAGGUUAGAUAGCCAAAGCACUAUUAGACCUACAAGCUCCAUAAAUAAGCUACUCCCUGUUGUUUAAAACUAAUGUAUGAUUAUAUCUCCAUAUAAUAUAAGAUAUAAAAUUUUAUCUUUUACAUUUACUAUUAUAUAUGGGAUACGUUACAAAAAAAUGUUAGGUUUUUUAAGGCAAGAAGGAUUUUUAUUAAUAAGGGAAAAAUACAAAGGAUGCAUAAAAUAAAACAAGGGAUGAUCAUCAUCAACCCAUAAACUAUAGCCAAAACCAAUAUUUCAACCCAAAUUCAAUAAAACCAAGAUAUUACAUAAAAUUACAAACGAUGCAAUUUGAUUGCAAAGAGUCAACCAAACUUUAAGAAGUUCAAAGAUUAGAGCUUUAAGCUUCAUAUAAGCCAUUUAUCAAACAUGAAGUGAGCAUGAAAAGAGAAGAACCGAGUACUUGACCAAAGGAAACAGAAUCAGCCUAACACCAGUAAUCAACACAACAUUAAAUUAUAUAUAAUACUUAAUGGCAUAGUAAAAAAAAAAACCCUAACAUGAAGAAAGAUUGAGCAUUUAAUACAAAAAAAAUGUUAUUAAAUCUCAAAUUUUAACCUGCUCUUCUAAAGGAAGAAAACUUAGAAGAAAACAAAAACAAAAUUAAAGUUUUGUUACCAUGAGAAUAACGUUUACAUUUUAGUUUUUAAAACUAUUCAUAUCAGUCUUUUGCUGGAAUGCAAGAGUUUUAACUUCGGUAAUCAUAUGUUCAUAUUAAAAUCUUGACAAACUUAAAUAUAAAAAAGAGUAUAAAGGAAAAAUAUAAACCAAUUUUCAAUAAUAAUAAACAUCAAAGACCUAAGCAAAUAUCCUAACAAAAGAAAUUUAACAAAUAAUUUCAAAAAUAAAUUGAAAGAGUAAAAGUAUCUAGUUUUUUCUCCAAGUUAUUUGGAAAAGAUGAAGCACAAAUGUUAAUUCUGUUAGUGUAUGCGUGUGUGUGAGUUAAAAUAUUAUGAAAAUAUUCCAUGGGAGACAAUUUAGGACAGAUUAAUUAUGAGCAUUAAUGUAUAGUUUGUAACUGAUUCUUUUUCUUAGUAUUAUCUAUCUAAUGAAAGGCUAAUAUAAAGGAUUAGCAAGUUGUUCUUUAUAGCCUUAAUUCUAACAUGGUAUUAGAGCCAACAAUGCAACCCUAGCUGCUGCCGCUCAUUCUUCUCUCUCUCUUUCUCCAAACCUUUCUGUGAUAGCCUUAUAUCGUCACCUAAGCUAUCGCUACUACAGACUUUAAUCUCGCAGCCCUAAAGCUAUGUACUUAAAACUUUUCUUUCCUCUUCAAUAGUCCUCAUUAGUUGAAAGAGGGCCACCCCUUUAUUUUCAAAGUUAGCAAAAAGAAGGAGUUGCAACCUCUUCAUGAAUGAUAGAUUAAAAGAGACAAGUUUUUCUCGGUGUAGAAUGUGGUUGCAAAACUAAAGAUGGAGUUCUUGAUUGUUGAUUAGGGGUUAUGUUACCCGAUUGAAGGAUUACCAAUUGUGUUCUUGAAGAAGAAGGUUUUGUGGCCAUGACAAGGAAGAGGCAAUCGCAUUGAAGGUGAUAACUCAAAAGAUUAUCAUAGGCUCACAAUUGUUGGAUAAGAAACUUGAUGGCUCCAACUACUUGUCAUAGAGCAAGAAUAUGUUGAUAACCUUGCGAGGUCUUGAAAAGGCUUGGUUUCUAACGAGUGAGCCGUUAGUAAAAAAAGCUUGAAGUAUGCAACAUGACAGUAGAAAGAUAAUCAAGUACUUAGACAAUUGUUCUACUCGAUAGAACAACAAGUCAAGGUGAUUUUUAAUCAAUACUUUACAAGUAAGAAGCUUUGAGAUGUUUUAAAAACUGUUUAUGCAAAUUCUAAGAAUUGGUAGAAGAUCUCAGAUGUUAUUAAGGCGUGAACUAAAAUUGAGCAGCCUGAUAGGAGCUUUAGGGAAUAUUUUGUUGCAUUCAAAGAGGUAUAUAAUGAGUUUAAUGAACUCAUGCCCUUGUUUAUCGAUUUAAAAACAAACCAAAAGUAACGAGAGGCUCUAGCUGUAAUGUUUUCUUAAUAGGAUUGAGGAAGAAGUACUAGUGCUAGUACUCCAAUAUUAGCCAGUAAAGAUCCAUUUUUUUAACUAGAUGCUUAUAAGUGCUUGAACAGGGUCACCUAAUAUCAUUCUCUACAAUAAGACAUAGUAGUAUUUAUGGCCUUACAGUGUGAAAGGCGAGCAUCAUGUAGAUGACAUGGUGGAUGAGGUAAAAGACAUGAAACUGGUAAAGAAAAGCUAUAGUCUUGCUAUUAUUAUGGAUAGCAGAGAUACUUACAAAAUAUUUAUCUGUAUUUUCUAGGUAAUUCUAGCCCACUAGUAGCAUAUGUGACUAAUGCUGCAUUUCAGCCUCAAAAGUAAGAGGAAAAAAGAGUUCAGUUAUCUCAGAAUAAGUAUUAUCAGGUUAUUCACAUGUUUUAAAAUCAAACUUUGAUCUUUUCUUUGAUAGUAACUUUUAUACAAGGUAAAUCUACUGCAUGCCUAGUUACUUUUUUUAUGACUUGGGUGAUUGAUUCAAGAGUUUUGGAUCACAUGAUGGGUACUAUGGGUACUACAGAUACUCUUAUUCAUAUACUUUUAUGACAAGGAAACAACCUAUUUUGGUUGUUGAUGAAAACUUCAUAGAUAUUGUGGAAAGUGGUAAAGCUCGACCUAUAUCUACAUUAUUUUUACAUUAUGUGUUACAUGUCCCUUCUUUUUCUUUUAACUUACUUUAAAUUAUUUAGAUUACAAAAAAUUUGAAUUAGUGUCUCAUUUUUUCCUAUUUAUUGUGUUUUUUAAGAUUUGUUUACAAAAUAGACUAUUGGUAGGAAAAAGAACGAAUGAGGUUUUUAUGUGCUUGAUGACAUACAAAAGAUAAAGUUUGGAUUAAUGGCAUACUUAAGAGAAUUGUCAUUAGCUUAUGAGUCCCAUUAUUGUUUUAGUGAUCCAUUCAUGUCAAUUUUAUGAGCUAUGUGUCCCCAUUUAUCAUUUUUUAGUUUUGAUUGUAAAAUGUGCAAGUUUGCCAAAUUGCAUAAAAUGUCUUAUCAAUCUCAAUUUAAUAAAAGAAAAAAGUUUCUUUUUGUUGUGAUUCAUUCUGAUGUAUGGGGGCCUUAUCCUAUUAUUUUAAACUCUAGUUAUAAAUACUUUGACAUUAGUUAAUGAUUAUUCAUGAGUUUAUUGCUUGUAUUUGUUGUAAAGCCACUAUGAAUUAUUUUGUCUUCAUUACCUUUCAUGUAGAAAUAGAUAAUCAAUUCAGUAAGUCUAUCAAAAUUUUAGGGAAUGAUAAUGGGGAAGAGUAUUUUUCUACAGAGUUUGUUUAAUUCCUAAAUGCAAAAGGUAUUGUUCAUCAGUCUUCAUGUAUAGAUACCCUACAACAAAAUGAGGUUGCUGAAAAGAAGAAUCAUCUUUAUUAGAAGUGGUUAAAGCUCUUUUGUUUCAAAUGAAGGUCGUUAAGGUGUUUUGGAGUAAAGUUAUUCUCACAGCAUGGUAUCUUACAAAUUAUUUGUCAUUCUCGAUUGUUAAAGAAAAAGUUCUUUUUUAAGUAUUAUAUCUUGAUCAUCCCUUAUUUUUAAUCUCCCUCAAGGUGUUUGGUUGCACAUGCUUUAUUCAUGACAGUCUCUCAAGUUGCACUAAGUUAGACCUACAUUCCAUUAAGUGUAUCUUUCUAGGUUAUUUAAAUGUCUAGAUAGGGUAUUAAUGCUACUUUCCAAACUUGAGUUACUUUAUUAUUUUGGCAGAUAUAAUGUCUCAUGAGUUAGUUUUUUUUUUUCUUUGGUACUACAGUAUCAUCCAUCACCCAUUAGAUAAGAAGAAAAAGAUUUUCUCAUUUUAUACAUAGUACAAUGGUUAAUGUGUCUCUUUUUGAGGCAUGCCUAGAUACUGGAUUUGGUCAUAGAUACACUAAAAAAACUUACCUAGAUCCACCUAUAAAAAUUUCCCCUAUCUAGAUAGUUUUUUCAUCGAUGGAUCUGUCUUUAGACACUAUGGUUGAAGAUGUACCAAUCACUUUAUGAAAAAGUAUGUGAAUUUGUAAAAAUUUUUCUUUAUACACACCCUCAUACAGAGGACUUUUUAUCCAACUUUAAACUUGUAUUGCCACAAUUAAUGCGAUUAUUGUUCUACAUACUCUGCAUGAUGCUUUUACAGAUUUAGGAUGGCGUAAGGCUAUAGAGGAUGAGAUGAUGGCCUUAGAGGCCAACCAUACAUGGAACUUGGUUUCUCUGCCAAAAAGGAAGCAAACUAUUGGGUGCAAAUGGGUUUACAUCACAAAAUUGAAUCCUAAUGGUUCAAUGGAUAGAUUGAAGGCAAGGCUAGCAGUGAAAGGAUAUGCGCAGACAUAUGGAGUAUAUUAUUUUGAUACCUUUUCACCAGUGGCAAAGAUGACAUCUAUUUGCUUAUUUCUUAGUUUUUCUGUUACACAUAAAUGGGCAUUACACCAAUUGGAUGUGAAGAAUGCUUUUUGACAUGGUGACUUGACUGAAGAGGUAUAUAUGGACCAACCACAAGGGUUUGUUGUUCAGGGAGAGUCUAGAAAGGUAUGUCAUUUACGUAGGUCUUUGUAUGGUCUAAAGUAAUUUUAGCGUGCAUGGUUCGAUAAAUUUAGUGUAGCUCUUGUUCAAUAUGGUAAGCAACAGAAUGAGAAAGAUCAUUCAAUAUUUUAUAUGCGGUAAAGUAUAGAGCCAUGGCUUUGGCUACAAUAGAGAUAUUAUGAAUGGUUCAAUUUUUAGAUGAAAUUAGGCUUUCAGUUUGGACCCCUAUAAAGUUAUGGUGUGAUAAUCAAGCGACAAUUCAUAUUGCUUUCAACCCAGUGUUUGGUGAAAGAACCAAGCAUAUAAAAGUUUAUUGUCAUUUCAUUAGGGAAAAGUUACAGAGUGGAACAAUAUUAUUGAAGCAUGUGCGCAUAAAGGAACAACUAGUCGAUAUUCUUAUGAAAUCACUUCAAAUAGUUCGAGUUGAUUAUAUAUAUAGCAAACUAUAUAUAUGCUCUAACUUAAGGAUAAGUGUUAGUUUAUACAUGUGUGUGAGUUGGAAUAUUAUGAGAAUAUUUCAUAAGAGAGUUUAGGACAAAUUAAUUGAGAGCAUUAAUGUGUAAUUUGUAAUUGAUUAUCUUUCCUUAGUAUUAUUUAUAUAAUGAAAGGCUUAUCCAAGAGAUUAGCAAGUUGUUCUCUAAAGUAAACUUGAUGACUUUUACAUAACUAUAGAAGUUGUAUUUAGAUUGGGUUGUGUUGGUUAUGGAACUGGCUUGUAAGUGAUGCACACUUUCUUUUCAUGGAGAUGGCCCUGAAAAAUGUUUAUUUGGUCUAUAAUAAUUAUUUAAGUUUUAUUACUCAAGAGUUGUAUUGAAGUUUUAUUAUGGCCUUUAACUUUUUAAAUAUAUAGAUUGUAAACUUGUGAUUUUGUGUUUUGUCAAAAGAGGUGGUGUAACCCCUUUGGUGUUUAGUUUUUUUGGUAUCAUUUAGGUGGUAUUUUAUCAGUUUUAUUUUAAACUUUCAGUUUUAGUGCUAAUAAGGAGACUAGAAAUUCAAAGACACUAUCUGUGUUCCAUCAUUGAAGCAUAAUCUAACAUAAAGAUAGGUCACCUUAUUUUCUCUAUUAAGUUUCAUAAUUCAAAGUUCUCCUUAUGUUGCCUUUGUUUCUAUAAAUGCAUUAAAAAGAAUGUUCGUUUUACUUGAUGAAUACAAACCAUUUUUUCCUUAUAUAUUGGUUCUAUUUUUCUUUAUUGAAUUGUGAUAUUAGUUUAUUUCCUAAUAGUAUGUUAUGUUUGAAAUAAAUUGAUGAAUAAUUUAUUAAAUUUAAAAUAAUAAUAGAUAAUGAAGACAAGAAAUACUGUCAAGGGUGAUACCAUCUUAGCAACCAAAGCUGUUUAGGAUGACGAGCUCACAAUGAUAUUUUAUGAACUAUGUAAAUAAAGUCAAUGCUAGUAAUAAACCAACAACUCAUCUAAAUUCAAAAGGGUGGGAAAAUAUUGUUUCCCUUUUUAGAGCUAAGACAUAAAAAUGUUAUGAGAAAUCUCAAUUGAAAAAUAAGUGGAACACAUUAAAAAAAGAGUGAAGAUUAUGGACUGAGUUACUUAGAAUUCUAUAGGUUUAGGAUGGUGUUAUUUUAAAGAGAUAGUUGAUGCAACUAAGGAGUGGUGGGUUGAAAAAAUAUAAGUUAGUGUUACUUAUAUCAAUAUUAUUAUGUGUUAAAUUAGUUGAAACUCAUAGUGAUAGUAAUCUUUGGAAUUUUUGAAAUAACACUCAAUCAUUUGAAAAUUAUGUAGGAAAAUAACAAUUAUAAAGUAUUUAAAAGAAAUGGAAUGGAGCCACGAUUGAAUAAGUUAAUGCGACAAAUGUUUGGAGACAUUGUGGCCAUUAGAGAGCAUGCGUGGGCACUUUCAUCAGGUGUUCUUCCAAGUGGAGCUUUUGGGGAAGAUGUUACCUCUAUUAAGGGUUUUAAAGAUUUAGAUGAACAUGAUAUUGAGAAUGAGGUUGCACUCAAGGAUGACACAGAUGUAAAUGCCUCUCUUGAAACUUCUAAUAAAAACAAAUAGGUUAUUGGAAUAGUACAAAAUAAAGGUAAAAAACCAACUCCAAUGAAAAGAUCAAUAAAAAACACAUUGACUAUUCAAAUUGAAAAAUUGUAUGAUGGUAUGACUAACCAAAGGAGAUUGAUAAAUGAAAUUAUCUUGCUACCCAUAUUCUAUUUCAGAUGCAAUGGAUAUAUUACGAGCUAUGAGAAGUAAAAUUCCAAGAAAGAGUUAUCUAUAUUUUUUUACCAUCAAAAUAUUCCAAGUUCUAGUAAAGCGAAAGGUGUUCUUGAAUUUAGAUUUGAAUCUUAAAGCUUGGUGGCUUCAAUGUAAGUAUGAUGAAUAAAAUAUUACUGCACGUUUUUCUUCCUUGCUAGCAACAUCUUCAUGUAGCUUUUAACCAUUCUAACAAACACCUCUACCUCCACCACCAACUCCAUCUAGUCCUUAUGGGUCAUUGAUGUGAAAUGAAAGCAAGUGAUUAUAGUUUUUGGUUUAAGACCUAUCAAAAUAUGGUAUUAUGAUAUUUUGAGUUUUUGUGAAUAUAUGUAUGCAUAGGCAUGUUGUAUGUUUCUUUUAAUGUAUAUGUUAGAAUUUUUCAUAAAUGGGCUACUAUUAAUUGAUGAUUUUAAUUUUAAUAAAAUCAACUAAUAGAUUUAGUCUUAAUACAAGACAAGCAUGAGAGCCCAAUUAAUUUAUUAUGAUCACUUAAGUGUGGAUUUUACACAUCUUAUUGGGUCAAUGUGGUAUAACAGUUGUGUAGGCCUUUGGCCUGAUAAACCUUUGAUCGAAAGGUUACUAAGAUUAUUUAAAUAUAAAACUAAGGUCCCCUCUUCACUUUUCACAUUCAGUAAUUGCUUAUUGAGAAAUCGCUACUAGAGAGAAAAGCAAAGAGGAAAACUAUUGUCACUUCAAGAUCGUUUUACUUUUGUGAUUUCAUGAUGACUACCCAAAUAGGUAUUCUUGAUCUUUUUGUUUGAAGUAUAAUGUUCUAAUUUUCACACAAUGAUAUUGGGAUAAGGCUUAUACGUGGUAUCAAAGCCAGGUUGUGUGAAAUUAGGACCAUAAUUUCAUGUUAAUUUAAUUGAUUUCUUGGUGAAUUGCUUGUUUGGGACAAAUAAGUUGUUGUCAAAAUUUUUUAAUUUCGAUCAUUAGUUUUAAAAUUGAUUGAAGGCUUUCAUUCCUCUCUGAGAGGAUUAAAUCUAUAUAAGGAUCAUUUUCUAAUUCUUUGUAUGAAGGGAGAAAUUGUGGUUUAAAAUUUUCAAUUACAAGUUUUGAUCAAAUUUUUGUUUAAAUUAAAAUAUCAAUGUUUUAUGUGUUUGAUUCAAAAUUGAUUGUUGGAUCAUGUCUCUAAUGUGUUAUAAACUUGAGUCAUAGUGAUUAACUUCAUAAAAUAUUGAUGUAUGGUGAUCAAUUAUGAAGAAAACAAAAAUGGGCCUAAACAUAGGUUUGUAAAAUCCAAAUUUUUUUCUCAAAUUGAUUUUAUUUCUGUAGUUUUUAUGCAAUUUUUGCAAGGGUUUUAUAGAAAAUAAGUUUAAUUGAAUGUUUGGGAUUUCAAUUUAAUGAAAAGGGUGAGGAAAAACAUAAAAAUAAAUGGUGAAAAACCCAUUUAGACCUAAACGAGUCAAGAACCACUUUAGUUAAGUUGGGUCAACCAGGCUGAGGGUUGAAAAAGGGAGACCCUCUAUUGCUAGGCAAAGCCCACGCGUAGAAGAAGGUGUGUGCAGUGCAUGUGGGCCCAUCCAAUGAUCACUUUUGUCUCGAUUUUUUCUAACAUGCUCAAAAUUUUAUUUCUAAUUUUUUUAUGAUUUUUUUGGAAUUUUUUAAGUGCAUGAAAUAUUUAUUGUUUAAAUUUCAUGUAUUAUAAAGAAAUUAUUUUGCGUCAUGCAUAUGAUUCUAGUUACUUUAGUUCAUGAUAAAAAAUUUUGGCAUGAUAGGAGUCUAAUGGCAGUAGGUACUCUCCCUAGUUAGACUAAAAUAUUUGUGUACUCUCAGGUUGAACAUUAUGUGCAUAAUUGGUUAGUAAUUAAAAUAAUAGUUUAAAUUAAAUUUGAUAUCAAAGUUUAAAUGUAAUAAACAUUGUUUAUAAGACCUGAUGAGAUACAUCUAAGUUUAGUAUCUUAGCUGGAAUGGUCCAUUGCAUACAUUAAGGUUGAAUAUGCAAACCAAGAAUUUUGGGCAAUUAAUAAAAUUUUCUAGUUUGAAAUUUUUUUUAUUAAUUGAUAUAAAUGCUUGGCUAACAAAGUGGCUUACUUGUUAAAGUUAAUGGAAAAUUUUAUCAUUCUAAAAUUACAUUAUGGUUGUUAAAUUAUCUUAUGCAUUUAUCUGCCUAAAGGAGGUUUAUGUAUAGGAUAAUUUAUUUUGGAACAUAAAGUAUCAUGGUUGAGGGCGUACUAAUCUAGAAAAUUAGUCUGUCCAAAGGGGAUAGGUUUUCAAAAAUUAUGACAUUCUCAUAUUAGCUUUAUGUGAAAAGUUCCUAAUCGCAUGUUGCAUUCUUUGCCCAAUAAAGAGUUUGUGAUAAUGCAUCUGGACCUUUCAGUAAUUGUUAGCACAUAAUGAAUCGUUGCUAUACAACUUAUGUUAUUACCUAUUGACUAAUAUUGCAUUUUGUUUUAAAUAGUAACUUUUACUGUCAAUAACAAUCAAGCCACUAUUGAAGUACUUCAUGGGUUUAAUUAUAAGAGAUGAAAUGAAGAUCUGAACUUUACUUUGAUUAUAAGUGAGAUAAACAUAGCCUUACAUUUUUCAAAGCCUGUUGAUCCUAUUGAAGAAAGUAUUGUUGAGCAAAAGAAAUUUUUUGCCAAAGGGAAAAGGGCAAAUCACAUGUAUUUAUAUGUUAUUAAGAAGUCUAUCUUUAAACACCUUUUGAGUGGGUUGCAUACUAUUGAAAUUGCUAUGGAUCUCUACAAUGCUAUAUGCAAUAGAUACCAAAAAUCAUUAAGUCUGAGGUUGGGGGUGUUUGAGAUUUCAUUAUGAGAAUGAUCCACAUUCAAACCAAAUUAACUUCUCACGAAAUUGUCUUCCCUAACAAAUUUAUUAUUCAUUAUGCCUUUAACUGCUUAUCUAUUGAGUUAACCUAGGUCAAAAUAGCCUACAAUGCUAUAAAUGAAGUUUGGAGUGUUGAUGGUUUUAUCUCAAAAUAUUUUUUUGAAAAAGAAAAACUCCAGAACGAAAAAAGUGAGAGUGCUUAUUCUACCUACUUCAAACCCAAUUAUCAAAAAAAUUAUGGGAAACCUGGGAGAUUUGUUUCUAAUGCUCGUAAGAAAGUUUAGGAUGACAAGGGACAGGGUAGUGGUCAAACUAAAGGGUUAGGAGUCUUAAAGUUAUCAUUAUCAAGUGUUCUUCUUAAAAUAAGAAAGGUCAUAUGAAAUUUGAUUACCCUAAAUAUAAGGCUUGGUUAAAGAAAAAAAUGAAUAAAAAGGUAAUUCACUAGCUCUUGUUUGUUUUGAAUCUUACUUUGUUAGUGCCUUACCAAAUUUGUGGUGACUUGAAAAUGGUGCAAUUAUUCAUGUUACUGUUACCUUGUAAGGGUUCAAAAGCAAAUGGCAAUCAAGUGAGAAAGAGGCCUAACUUAAAGUUGGAAAUAAUGCUAAAGUAUACAUUAGUCAUAUAGGAACAAUAGGUUUGAAUUUGGAUUCUAGCUUUGAACUUGUUUUGGAAAAUGUUUUUUCUGCACCUUUGUUUAGGUGGAAUUUGAUUUCAGUUUCUAUUUUGGAUAAAUGUGGUUACUACUUUGACAUUGAAAAUGGAAAAGUUGACUUGUUUUUAAAUCAAAUGUUCUUGACGGAUUUAAACGUGUUGACAAUUUAAAUAAACUAUGUUUCAAUAAUGAAUAUAGUUGCAAUAAUGUUGAAAAGAUAGUGUCUAAAAGAUCUUUAAUUAAAAAAAACUAUUCAUUGUUGUGAUAUAAAAGGUUAGGUCACAUUUAUGAUGAAAAAGUUUAAAGAUUGAUAAAAGAUGGUAUUUUACCAUCCAUUGAUUUUCAAAAAUUAGACACUUGUGUUGAUUGUGUAAACGAUAAACUAACUAAGACUAAAAAAAAAGGGGCAACUUAUAGUUUUAACCUUUUAAAAAUUAUACAUAUUGAUAUUAGUGGACCUCUUACAUCUAUUUUAUGUGGUAAAAAAUAUUUUAUUACUUUUAUUGAUGACUAUUUUACCUAUGGGUAUCUUUACUUAUUUAGUGAAAAUUUUGAUACUUUUGAUAAAUUCAAAAAUUUUAAGACUGGGGUAAAGAAAUAAUUAGGGAAAGUUAUCAAAGUUAUUAGGUCUGACCGUGGUCGUGAGAAUUAUGAUAGACAUGGUGAAACUGGAUAGCACAUGGGACCAUUUGCCAAAUACUUACAAGAGUGUGGGAUUAUUGCCUAAUAUACUAUGUAUGGUAGUUUUGAAAAAAUGGUGCGGCCAAAAAGCAAAAUUGCACCCUUAAGAAUAUGAUGAAAAAGCAUGAUGAAUAGGACCAAUCUUCUUAAAUCGUUUUAGGGUGAAGCCAUUAAAAUUGCCUUGUAUAUACUUAAUAGAGUACUUAGUAAAUUUAUUCCUAAAACACCUUUUGAAUUGUAAACUAGUGGCAAACCUAGCUUGAACCACUUUCGAGUUUAGGGAUGUCUUGUAAAAGUUAGAAUCUACAACCUUUUUAAAAGAAAGACUAAUCCUAUAAGUACUUGUUGCUUUUUGUAGGGUAUUUAGACCAUUUAAAGGGAUAUAGGUUUUAUCGUCCUACAUGUGGAACUAAGUUUAAAGAGUCGUAAGUGGCAAAGUUUCUUGAGCUAGAUAUUGUUGAUAUAGGUAUGGUAGAGGCUGUGAUUAAUAAUGAACUUGUUAGACAAGUCUCCAUUCUUUUGCCUAGAACAUAGUGCCAUAAUAUGCCAAUGGCCAUAAAGAGAAGAGAUCGGGGGUAACAAGAUACAAACCCUCUUCCUAUUAAUCUUACUUCUAUUAAUGUAUCGCAAGUUGAAGAAAAUGAGAUUGAAAUACCUCUAAAGAGAUCUACCAAAUAUAAAAGAUUUGCUACUUUUGAUAAUUAUGUAAUUUAUUUUGGAGAGAGUGACUAUGAUAUUAGUCAUGUUGUUAAUCCUAUGACUUUUGAUGAAGCCAUUAGGAGUCCACAGUUUGAUGUAUGGAUGGAUGCAAUAAAGGAUGAAAUGAAUUCUAUGACUCAAAAUGGUGUCUAAGAACUUGUUGAACUACUAAAAUGAUGUAAACUCAUUGGUUGUAAAUGGGUGUAUAAAACCAAUAAAGAUUUUAAGGGAAAAAUUGAGAGUUUCAAAGCUAGACUGGUAGCAAAAGGAUUUACUUAAAGGGAAAGAGUGGAUUAUAAUUAAACCUUUUCACUAGUGUCUUCCAAAGAUUCCUUUAAGAUCAUUAUAGCCUUAGUAGCACAUUUUGACUUGGAGCUUCAUCAGAUGGAUGUGAAUAUGGCUUUUCUCAAUGGUGAUAUCAGAGAAAAUGUUUAUAUGGUAUAGCAUAAAAGAUUUCAAGAAUAUGAAAAUGAGCAUUUAGUAUGUCGGCUUAAAAAGUCAAUCUAUAACCUUAAGUAAGCUUCUAGGCAAUGGCAUCAAAAGUUUGAUGAGGUAGUUACUUCUUUGGGUUUUAAGGAAAACAAAAUUGAUCAAUGCAUAUACCUUAAAAUCAGUGAGAGUAAGUAUAUCUUUCUUUUAUAUGUGAAAUAUCUUGCUCGUUGGAAAUGAUGUUGAUUUGUUGCAUGAAACUAAGCAGUUGUUGUCCAAGACAUUUGGCAUGAAAGAUCUUAGGAAUACCUCAUUUGUUCUUAGGAUUGAAAUUCAUAGAGAUAGGUCUCAAAAUCUAUUGAGACUAUUGCAAAGUUUAUACAUUGAUUGUGUGCUUUGCAGGUUUAACAUAUAGCACUAUAAGGUUAGGGAUACACCCAUUGCGAAAGGUGAUAAACUUAAUCUUAGUAAGUGCUCAAAGAAUGAUUUAGAGAAAGAAUAUGUGAAGAACAUACCAUAUUCUAGUGUAAUUCAUAGUUUCAUGUAUGCACAGGUUUGCAUUAGGCCAAACAUUACUUUUGUAGUAGGAGUUCUUGAGAGAUAUCUUUCUAAUCCUGGUAUGAAUUAUUAGGUUGCUACUAAGAAAGUGAUAAGGUAUUUGCAAAAAACCAAAGACCAUGUAUUGGCUUACAAAAAAGUGGACAAUUUUAAGAUAGUUGGGUAUACAGAUUCUAACUUCGCUAGUUGUUAGGAUGACAUGAAGUCCAUUCCAAAAUAUAUUUUUAUGUUGGCUAGAGGAGUUGUGUCUUUGAAGAGUAUGAAGCAAACACUUUUAACUUCUUCUAUCAUGCAAGCUGAGUUUGUAGCAUGCUUUGGAUCUGCUAGUAGGCAAUUUAGCUUAAAAUUUUCAUUUCAGGUCUUCGCAUUGUUGAUUCCAUCUUUAGACUAUUAUAUAUUUAUUAUGAUAAUAAGUAUCUUGUAUUGUUUUCUAAUAACAACAAAAGCACUAACGGGUCUAAACAUUUUGAGAUAAAAUAUCUCAAGGUUAUAAUUUUGUGAAAAAUGGUGAGGUUGUUGUCGAACACAUUGAGACUAACAACCUGAUUGUUGAUCCUUUGACUAAGGGGUUAAAACCUAUAGUAUUUAGUAAACAAGUUGAAAGUAUGAGUAUUCUAGGAUUUUUUGAUGUAAUUCAUCAGUGGGAGUAUAUCAUUGAGUUUCAUACUCACACAUCAUGGUUUAUCAUUAUGUUGGACCCUUUUUCUUUAUAUUUGAAAUAUUUAUGUGAUAUUUGAUUCUAUGCUUGAAUGAUAAUUAUCGUUGGUUAAUAUUUUAUAUUAUUACUUAUUAUGUUGGUACAUUUUAAAAAAUUAAAGUUUUUCAUAUACACUGUAAAGUCUUAAGACUUGAUAUCUAUUUUAAAUACAACUUUAAUAUUUUUUGGAUGUCUCAUAAAUGAUACCAACAAGUGACCUCAAGGAUAUUAAAGAGAUACAUAGGCACAUAUGGAGACUGUAGAGAUUUCUUAGCAAGUUCAGAGUAAUCAACAAGAGGACUAAUAAUGAAAAUGACACAUUAAGAUCAUAUUUAGGAGUUAUUUUCUUACUACAUAGCCACAAUGAGAUCUAUUGUCAAUAGAGUCUUUGGUAUUUAUAACUAUGAAUUGGUCUUAUGUCAAUAAAGGGCAUUAAGGCUGCAUGAUUCAGUAUUAUAUGAUUUUAUUAUAUAGGAUUAUUAAGAUGUUGUCUCAAAAACUAAAUUAUUUUCAAAAUUAUGACCAUAUCAAAGUAAAAUAAAUCAACCUGGAGUCUUAUUUUCAAGUCAAAUUUUCUUAAAAUCAAACAACCCAAUUAUUAUUGCCCAAGUGAAAGAAUAUUAAAAUUUUUCGUAAGUGGGCUACUAUUAAUUGGUGAUUUUAAUUUUAGUAAAAUCGACUAAUGGAUUUAGUCUUAAUACGAGAUAAGCAUGAGAGUCUAAUUAAUUUAUCGUGAUCAAUUAAGUGUGGGUUUUGCACAUUUUAUUGGAUCAGUAUGGUGUAGCGGUUGUAUAGGCUUUUGGCUUGAUAAACUUUAAUGGGAAUGUGACUAGGAUUAUUUAAAUAUAAGGCUAAGUCCCCUCUUCACUUCUCACAUUCGGUAAUUGCCCAUUGAGAAACUACUAUUAGAGAGAAAAACGAAGAGAAAGAUCAUAGUCAUUUUGAGAUCGUUUCGCUUCUAUGAUUUUAUGAUGUCUACCCAAACAAGUAUUCCUGGUCUCUUCGAUUGAAGUAUGGUAUUCUAAUUUUCACACAAUGAUCGUAGGAUUAUGCUUACAAUAUGGUCACUUUAACUUGAACCCAAAUGAAACGUUGUAUUAUGCUUUUGUCAAGGUAUCUUACUCAUAUAUUAAUGUAUAUAUGUAAUGUUAUGGGUUAUUUAUGAUGCAAUGCCAUAAAAUAUAAAUAUGUUUUUUUUUUUUCAAGUUAUGAAUGACUUUAAUAAUUUAUUUAAGAAUUUUGUGAUGAAUCAUGGUAAUGUUGAAUUAAAUGAAGAUGAUCAACAGAGAAUAGCCACAAUUGUUACAAAAGUUAAGCAGAAUAAUAUUAUAAUGUAGAAGAUAAUGCAAUCAAUAGCAUAUUGGUGCAUUAUGAAACUUAUUUCACUAAUCAGCUAAGUAUGAAAUCAAAUUAUAUUGGAGAAAAAUGGGUGCAAGAGAUAUUAAAUGGGCAUGAUAGUCAUUGUAUGAAUAGUUUUAGGAUACCAAAGAAUAUAUUUUAUCAUUUGUUGCAUGAUUUGCAAACAAGUUAUGGUUUAAAACAUGGGAAUGUAUCUAUACUGAAGAAGUUAGCAUUAUCAUUAUACAUUAUUAGACAUAGGCAAACAAAUUUUAACGUGAGAGAGCAAUUUUAACAAUUUGGUGAAACUAUUAAUCGAAUCUUUUCUAAUAUGUUCAAUUUGUAUGCUCAAAUAGGAGUAGAUACAAUUAAACCAAUUGAAGGUCAAUUUGCAGAAGUACAAUCUCACAUUUGAAAUGAUAAAAGAUAUUGGCCAUACUUUUAGGUAAAAUUUAGAGAUUUGAAAUAAAUUUAAGAUAAAAGUUAUUAAUGAGUUUAAUCUCAUAAUUUUUAUUUGAUUGUAGGAUUGUAUUGGAGCUAUAGAUGGAACUUAUAUAAAAGCUUGUAUUUCUCUAUCCCAAGAAAUACCUUACUUUGGUAGGAAAGAUGAACUGACACAAAAUAUUAUGGUAGCUUAUGACUUUAAUAUGUGCUUCAUUUUUUCAUAUCUUGGUUAAAUAGGUACAACACAUAAUAGUAAAAUUUUUUUUCAAUCACUUAGAAGGCAAAACUUGAAUUGUCCACACCUUUCACUAGGUUAAAGAUUUUAUAUUAUUUACUAAUUAUUUAAAAUAAUUUUGGGUUCAAAUUUAUGUUUGUUCAAAAUGUAAAUAAUUUUUGUAAUUUUUAUUUUUUAUAGGUAAAUAUUAUCUUGUGGAUUCAGGAUACCCACAAAUGGUUGGUGAUUUGGGACCAUACAAAGGAGAAUGAUAUCAUUUACCUAAUUUUCGUUGAGGUAGUCGUUGUAUAUCAGAAAGAAGGAAAUUUUUAAUCAUGCACAUUCUUCAUUGCAUUCUGUGAUUGAACAAACAUUCAAAGUAUGGAAGAAAAAAUGGCCAAUUUUGUGAGAUAUUCCAAGUUAUUCAUUUGAGAAGCAACUUUUAAUCAUAAAUACUACAAUGGUUUUGCAUAAUUACAUUCAAAGACAUCUAGAUCAAGUGAUGAAGAUUUUAGAGAAUUCGAGAAUAUGCUUGAUAUGUCAAUUUCUACAAGCAAUUUUGUUCGAGGUGAAUCAAGUUCUGUUAAUUGUAGAGAAAAUGAUCAUGAAAUUACAAUGUUAAGAGAAACAAUAGUGGCUAGUCUAAUGGGUUCAUUUUCCCAUGCACUCUAGUAUAUUACAUAAUUCUAAUAAAACUGUGUGCUUUAUAAAGUUAAUUUGUUUUACUGUAUUAGAAAAAUUAUUCAAUAAAAUCUUUAAAAUAUUUUAAUGGUUGUACUUUUAUAGUCAUUUUUGUUGUUUUCUGUAACUUGUUCUAAUUACAUGAAUAUUAAAGGUAAAUUUUUACUUAUACAUGGAAAAAGGAAGUAGUUUAUUGUAAUUUUUUUUAUAUAUUUUAGUCUUUUAUAAAUUGAAAAUGAGUUUUCACUAUGUUGUAAGUCCAUUGUUUUAUAAUUAGAAAUUUUAAAUGAUGAUGUCUAAAAUUUUUUCUUCAUUUUGGUAUCUUAUUUCAAAUUUUAAUAAAUAAUUAUGUUAAAAUAAUCAAAUUUGUUAGUUGUGGUCACUAUAAGAAAAUUGCCUUGUACUGACACUAAAAAAAUCAUCGAUAAAACUUAAAAAUCCAUUAGUAUAGCAUAAUAAACUUUAUACUGAUAGUCAAAAUAUUUAUUUUGAUAAAUUUAUAACUGUCAAUAUAUUCUUUGUCAGUACAAACAUAUACUGAUGGUUUUUAAGUUAUCAAAAUAUAUAACAGAGAUAUAUCAACAGUUCUAGUCCAUCAGUAUAUAUAAAGCCAAUGGUAUAGCAAUUGUUGUGUGUUCCACAUUAUACCUUUUAUCGACGGUUAUCUUCCAUCAGUAUACAUUAGUAUAUUUUAAAUUUUCCAACUUAUACUGAUUGUAUCUUUGUCAAUGUAUCUUUUACCAGUGGUCAAUGCUCGUUGGUAUAGCCUUGUGUGUUUUUACUUUUAUUGAUGAUCUAUCCGUGAUGAUUGUUAGUAUAGCCUGAAAUAUUCCAACAGUAAAGUGCGUUGGUAUAAAUUUUAAGGUGUCAAUAAAAAUUUUCUUUUGAAUUAUAUUUUCAAUUAUUAAUAUUAAUUUAUUUAUAAUAAUAAUAUGAUAUGGUUUCAUAUAAAGUAAAAAUACACAAAAAAUAAAAGAUAUUUAAUAAUAUUUGAAAUAAAACAACAACCAAAUUGUUUUAUAAUCUGUAAACUUAAAAUAAGUCAAGAACUAAUGUCAUUGAACCAUUUAGAAAAAAAAAAAAAAGAACAUUAAAUGUCUAUGAUUGAAUGUCUACAAAUAUAGUGCUCGAAAGAUAAUUCCCCAAACUAAGUGGUCCCAUCAUAAAUUUCUACAGAAAAGCAUCUAUGCAGCAUAAAAUACACAAUUAAAUAAUUAAGUUAAAAGCAAAAAGAAUUAGUGUAAUUCUAAAAAGGAUUUGUACAAAAAACCAAUACAAGUAUGAUUUGAUUGAAUGUCUACAAAUACAGUACUCGAAAAAUAACUCCCCAAAGUAAGUGAUCCCAUCAUAAAUUUCUACAGAAAAGCAUCUAUGUAGCAUAAAAUACACAAUUAAAUAAUUAAGUUAAAAGCAAAAAGAAUUAGUGUAAUUUUAAAAAUGAUUCGUACAAAAAACCAGUACAAGUAUGAUUUGUAUUUUGCUUAAAAUCCAUCCAGGUCCAUUAUGAUAACAACCAUUUCUAAUUUCUUAUUUAUAUUUAUUUUUUUUCUAUUUUUACAUCUAACAAAGCCACAUGAGAUGAGCAAACAUAUGACCUCAUAUAUAAAAACACUGUUAACAACUGGUAAAGAUCAUUAAACCAAAUUGCAUUGUAUAAAAAACAUGAGAACAAUACAAUGAAUAGCAACAAUUACAUACACAUGAGAAGCAUAAAGCAAUGAAUUAAAUUUUAUUGUAUUAUUCUUGCAUUUACCCUUACAUACACAUGAGAAAUAUAAUGCAAUGAAUUAAAUUAUAUAUAUUGUUCUUACAACAAUAAUCACUUUAUCUCUACUUGUUUGGAUGAACACCCACACUAUAAUUGUAACAAGCACAAGAUAUUUGAUACACGUAUAAAUGUACCCUCCUAUAGUACAUAUAAAAAAUAUUUUGCAUAUGCAAUCCUUGAUAGAAAAACAAUUUCUCUGGCUAGUAAUAGAAGAAAAAACUAUAUUGCCUAGUGACUAAAAAAUAAAUCAACCCUAAACAAACACAGAUUUUGGUUCAUAUCCACUCAUAAUAGUUUGUUAGCAUACAAUUACAACAAUGACAGACUUUCACAAUUAUAUAAUUCAAAACCUAGAUUCAAACAUUGAUUUUGACAUUUUAUCUAGGAAACAAGAAUCAAGCAAAACAUUUCUACAUAUAUAUCAGGUGACGAUAAGUUUACCAUUUUAAUUUUGAUUAGGUUGAUGAGUUGAAUUUGAAGAUCGAUAGUUUUUCAUGUGUGAUUUUUGAAGCACUACUAGCAUUAGAAGCUUAAAAAUAAUUCAAAAUAAAUUUGAAUAAGGUUCAUGAUUCAUGAUUAAGAUGACAAGUUACAUAUAUAUAAACUAAAAUAGAUAUUAUAUAUACCUCUCUAUUCAUCAUGUGAGUAAUAGUAUUCAAGACAUUUAUAUUCUCAUUUGAAAAUUGUCUUUGAAAUAAUGAUAAGACAAUAUUUAAAGUUUCUUUUAAAUCUUUAAUUUUAACCUUCAACUUUUAUACUUCUUCCUUAUACUGUACAACUUUAGAAAAUAAAGGACUAAAUUGUUUAAAUAAAGUAAACACUGUACUUUUACAAUAAACAUGCCAUUUUUUUUUUGCCCUUUAACUUUUGAAUAGUUCUAUGAACUCCCUUUAAAAUUCUGAGCACUAGUUUCAUUCAAACUUUUUUUAAUGAAUUCCUAAAAUUGUAAAAAAAUAUUUUAGUACAAAUAAACCAAACAUAAGUAAAAGCAAGUAUAAACUAAAUCAAAUACCACAAGUUUAACUGCCUUGUCAUUCAUAAUACUUUCAUCUUUACAUGUAUGAGAAAGUAUAUACACUUCAGUAUGUGAUAGUAAAAUUCCAUUAGCUUCUUGUUUCUACAAAUGUAUAACAUUAAUUAUUAUAAUGACAAAACUAUACAUAUAAAAAGUAAACUUCAUAUUCAUUUAAUUGAGUACCACAAAGAAAAUUUAUAUAUGUACCAAAGUUUGAAUGAUCUUCGAGAAUGAUUUUGUUUCUGUGCAAUAAAGCUCAUCUAAUUUUGAACAGUUUGUUUUGUUUGUCUCACUUCAUUUUUUUAAACAAAUGAACAAAAAAAGAUGCAUUAUAAUAGCUCAUUAUUAUAUCAUAGUGCUAAAACAAAGUAAAUACUAUUUAGAUUUCAAUUCAGUCUUCAUUGCCUUCAUUUAGCAUCGAUGUUUUUUAUUGCCAAACCUUUAAUUUUUUGAAUUUUUUCUUCAUCAACACACUUAUCAGAAUCAAACGUAUGAAAUUUGAACUUUGACUAAAACUUUAAAAAAUAAUUAAAAAUAAAAUAUUAAUAUAUCUAAUGAAUUGAUACUAAAAGAUUAUUGUCAUGGCAUUAACUAGCAAGUAAAAUAUUAACGUAUUGAUACCUCUAAUGUUUUUCAUAUUUUUUUUAUCACUUAACAUUCCAUGCCAAUUUAUAUAAUUAAUUGGUGCAAAGUUAGGCAUUCUCACCUUGCUACCAAUUAAUCGAGUUAAAGAGCAAUAUUUUUCACUAAUAGGUACAACAUCAUCAUUGACUUUAAUAAUAGCACAUUCCCUUUCUUCCAAAUCCUAAAGAUUAGCCAUAUGUGUAGGACCUCGAGCUUUUUAUGUUGAGCAUUUCCUACAUAAAAAAAUUACAUGCAAAAAUAAUAAUUAAAUUCAUUAAAAAAUUUAAGUGUACAAUAAUUUAACACAUAAAGAUUUAUACUAACAGAAUAUAAUGUUUCUAUACCUAAAUUAUGUUUCACUUGUUCAUCUUGAUUUUUAUUAUUUAUAAAUUGAGAAAUUGGUUCUUAAGAUUCUUGUGAAGGCUCAUAUUAUGAAGACUGGUUUUCAAGGCACAUGUUCUUUAAAUUAUGCUUGCAAUUGAGAACUAAAGACAUGAUUUGCCCUAGUGAUAUUUAAUCGUUUACACUUUGCCAUCUUAAGUCUAAUAAUACACCAAAUUUAGUAAGUACAAUAUAAAAGAGAACUUGAUUACAGCAAAUCAUAUUAAGAAUUAAGUACAAUUUAAUAAACAACUUGAUCACACAUAAAAUUAAAUGAUUUAAGCUGGUAACACAAAAACAAAGUAAUAGUAAACUAUAUCUUACAUUGCAAAACCUUUACAUAAAGCUAAACUAUUACAUAGAAUUAAAAAUGUCCUCCCAUUAUGUUUAUAUAUGGGAUCUUCUUUUACAUGCUCAUUUUUCAUCUUUGAUGUGACUUUCACUCCUUCAUCGUCAACAUCACUUCUAACCUAAUUUGAAGCACUAUGUGUGUCAUCAAAUUUCAUAUGAAUUUUUUCAUUCUCUUGGUCUUUAUAUAAAGAUAAUCCAUCACCUAUAUCAAAUAUAUCUUUAAGUUUUGCAUGCUUGACAAGAACCCAACCAUUAUGUUUUUCAUCAUUAAAAUAAAAAACUUUUUAGCUUGUGAUGUUAAGACAAAAAGAUCAUGAACUAAAUUAGUUCCAUUAUAAGCUGAUGUGAAAAAUUCACAAGAGUGAAAUCAAACUUAUCUUUCUUGCAACAUCUAUUUAUAUCAAUCUAAUCAUCUUUAAAUAACACAACCUUAAAUUUACCAAUAUAAUUCAAUUGAAUAAUGCCUUUUAAAAUCCCAUAAUAGUUAACUUCCCCUCAAUAGGUUGCAUAUCUCUUGUACUCGCAUAACUCAUCAUCUUAGUUGUUAAAAUCCCAUUGUUUUAAGUUUUCAAGUAUUUCUCACAUGCCUUGGUAUGGAAUUUAAAACCAUUAAUGAUAUAAUCAAUGUAUUUCCUAACAGUAUCUGUUGGACCAAGAGCAAGCCAUUUAAGUUGGUCUAUGAUGCUUGCAUGUUUUUGUUGAUCCAAAUUGGCAACCUAAGCAAUUUCAUAAUUGCUUAAAAUAAUUAACUAUAGAAACUUUGAUCAUAUACUCCAAACCAUGAUGUAUGACUUACAUAAUCAUGAAACCAAUCAUGAAAAAUUUUACUUUACAAUUUUUGUAUCUCAUAUGACAUAAGCCAAAGAGACCAAUUACGUAUCUUAAUAACUUGCUCAUGUUUCUUACAUGAAAAAAAAUUCUUGGAAGACUGUACAGUAUAUUACGAAAAAAAAUUAUCAACUAUAAUAUGUAUGUGGAUAUGUGUUAUUACUUUAUAAAAGGAGCAACCUCAUCAGAAUUAAAUAGCACAUAUCAAUGUGCUUCAACCAAAGUUUUCUUAUCAAGUAUAAUGUAUAAGACCCUUUUAUGCUUGUUAACAUUAAAACUUUUAUGUUUUUUCCUUCUCAACGAUCUCCUUAUAGUAGAAAGAAUAGAUACAUCUUAUUUUACAAAAAGAUUUUGAUCUUUAUUUCAGAUGAGUUGAUUAAAAUAAUCUCUAUCCCAUCAAAAUAACAUGAACAAAAAGUUAUGUAUUCAUUUGUUAUGUAGCUUUUUGCAAUUGAACUUUCAGGACAAGCUCUAUUGUGCACAUAUGAUUUAAGAGUAAGAUAAAACCUAUUUAAAUAGAAGUUCAAUUAAAAAUAUCAUUAGCAUAUAUACUAGUUAAAAUUUAGUAUAAAAAUCUAUAACACUCUAAGAUAUACCUCUCAAUAGGAUACAUCCACCAAUAUAUGACUAGACGGGCAAUUUUGCUUCAUUUGCUAAAUGGAUAACUAAAUAUACCAUUAUUGUGAAAAAAUAUGGAGGAAAAAUCUUCUCCAUUUCACAUAGAAUUGAUGCAACCCGAGACUCAAAAUAAUUUAAGCUCAUGCUCUUGAAACUUUAAAACAAAGUUUUUUAAAGAAGGUACAUAAUUCAAUAAGAAUCGAGCAUAUUUUAUCAGGUAAAGACCAUCAUAUUGCUACGAGAAGAAAUUCUUGCAUUAAAAGAUGACAAUCAUAACUUUUGAGCCCUAUUAGCUUUCGUUGUUUAAGUUGCAUACAACGCAAGAUAUUAGAAGAGUAUUCAUCCAAAUUUUUCAUUUCCUUGAGAAUCUUUAAAAAAAAAAAUUUUUUUCGUUUAAGCUCAUUUAAUAUAAGCUUGAGACAAAUAUUGGGUGUUAGUGCCAAGAUAAGUCUUUGGAUGAAUAACACUUCUUACACAUUUUUAUACAAGGUCAAGUCAUGCUUUGUAGUUAUCCUUUAGCCUCUCUUCUUACCCAAUCAAUAUACCAAGAAUGUUAUCACAAAUAUUCUUUUUAUAUGCAUCACAUCAUGAUUGUGACAUAAUAGAAGAUAUUCCUAAUAAGGUAAUAUGAACAAAAUACUCUUCUUUUUUCAUGGCCCAUCUUCAUUACCAUUCCAUUAUUUCAAUGGUCUCAACUCUUCACUUUUAGAUAAUGGUGAAGGAGCACUUUUAAAUUCUUAAGUCCCAUUAAAUGAGUUUUUAUCAUUUCAAAACCUAUAAUUUGGUUGUAACCACCUAUGAUAGCACAUGUAAUAAUAUUUUUUGCCAUGUUAUAAUCACUUAGAUACAGUAUCAAAUCCAUAACAAGAAAAUGCAUACUCUCCCCUAGUACUCCAUCCAGACAAAUUGGCAUAUACAAGGAAGUCAUUAAUGGUCCAAAAUUAUGCUACGUGCAGUUGAAAGUUUUGAUUUUUUAAGGCAUCAAAAGUCUGAACACCUACUUUCAAAAAUUUUUACAACUCUUCUAUCAAAGGUUGCAAGUAGAUAGCUAUAUUAUUUUCAGGACCUUUUGGACCAAGAAUAAAUAGGGAUAGAAUAAAUUUUGGUUGUUUCAUGCACAUCCAUAAAGGUAAGUCAUAAGGUAUCAAUAUAAUAGGUCAAGUGUUAUGUGUCACACUUAUAGUUUUGAAAUGGUUAAAACCAUCAAAAGAAAAUCCCAAGCAAACAUUAUGAGGGUCAAAUGAAAACUCAGGAUAUCGAGAAUCUAAUUCUUUCCAAGCUAGAGAAUUGUAAGAUGUUUUAGACAUCCAUCCUUAAUACGCUCAUGUUCAUGCCAAGUCAUUAAUGGAACAGUCUUUAAAAACAUGAAUAACCUUUGAAGUCUCGAAAUUAGAGGAAACCAAUGCAAAAUCUUUGUAUUUUUUUUCUUUUUUUCUGACACUGUAUGUUUAUGAUCACUUUCUACAUCAUUUAACAUCUCUUUUCACCUAGAAGCCCUACAUUUUGAACACAUUUCUUCAUUUAUCUUAUUCUUUCAAAACAAUAUACAAUUAUUGAGGCAAGCAUGAAUUUUUUCAUAUCCCAAACUUACGAUAGAAAUCAUCUUUUUUAAUUCAUGAUAUGACCCGACAAUGUAUUACCCUUUAGUAGAGCAAGUUUCAAUAACUUUAAUAAUGUAUUGAAAGAUUUAUUUGUUUAGCCAUUAAAAUACUUAAUGUGGCAUAAAUAAAUUACAAAGGAGAACUUUAUGAAGUUUUUGCAAUUUGGAUGUAGUUUCUCCUCCGCAUCUUUAAGUAAACCAUAAAACUUGUCACUAUUAAUUCUAUGACUAUAAUGUUGCUCUCCACCGGUAUCUACAAUUGUAUGUUAACCAUGAACAUUCAUACCUCUUUAAGCCAUCAUAUCAUGUAAUAAAUCUUGAAUGUUAGGACCUAACUCUCUUUUUUCCUCAUUAGUUGUUCUAGUAGAUAAACAUGCAUCCAAGGCCUUUCUAUGAAAUAUCCAUUGAAUAUAUCCUUUGAGAAAACCAUCACAUAUUAUAUAAUCAAAUGUAUCUCUUUUACACACGCUUUAUAUAUGUUGACACAUUUAACAUAAGGACACCAAAAUUUUUCAUCCUUAGAUGAUCUUGUAAAGGCAAAGUCUAAAAAACUAGUAACCUAUUUAUGUUUUUUUCAUUGGCUCUUGAUAUGAUAUUUAUCCAUGUCUUAUCCAUAGAAUGUAGAAUGAUUUGUCCUAAUAAUAAAAUUAUAUUUAAUUACCUCACAUUUUAUGUACAUAUAAGAAAAAGAAAAAAAAUAAUAAUGUGACUUGAUAUAGUAACAAUAUAAAUAACUAAAAAUUUUAAUUUAAAUAACUCAAUGUAUCAUUUUUUAAAAAAACUUAAAAAUUGAAAUAAACUUGACAGUAGCAAUCAAAUUUAUCUAAAGAAAAACUCUUUUAUGUCCUAAUAGAUAAGACACAACCAUGAAAGAAAAACUCCUAAAAGAUACUAAUAAGCGAUGGAAUUGAAGUAACAUGUGGUUUAAACAAACUUUUAGCUAAUCUAAGAAAAGUCUAAUGAUUGAAGCAAAAGGCUUUAUAACAAAUAGCUUUCAUGACUUGAAUCUAAGGAUUGUCAGUUAAAAGGGAUAUGAUAGAAACAAAUGUGAUUUUCAUGAUGAAGAAUCAUACAAUAUAAUAAUAUACAGCAAGAAAACUCACCCUUUAGAAGCAACCAAGGACUAAAGGUGGAAAGGGACUUCUUACUGUAUCAACGAAUAUGGUAACAACAGAGCUGAAGAAGGGGAUCAUGAGUUGUAAUGGUGGCUGUAAAGAUAAAGAGAAAAAAGAUGGUCUUUUAAAAAAAAUGUAACUUAUUUCAAAAUGAAACGGUAGCCAUCCUUAUCCAAUAGUAAAAUAUCCUACCAUAAUACAAUUAAAUGUCACCAAAAUUUAAGGAGAUGAGCCAAACAAAGACAAAGAAUAAGCAAGCAUUUAUUUAGACCAAUAAGACAAUUUGCAGGCUAAGUAGAAACUUGUAACAAAAUGGUGCAGUUUGUAACAAGUAAAAAUCUGUUAGCAUUGAAACAUUGGAACUUUCAAUCUCUAAAGCUUAAUUCAAAAGGUUACUUUCUCCUUUGUCAAAUAUUAUUGUGCAGUUUGUUAUUUGCUACUCCUCUUCUGCAUCUAUCGUUCAUUAUUGUCAAAUCUCUCAUAACACAACAGUUACUGGGAAAUUGAUGAUAGUUUUGAAAUCCAUCCAAUUCUUACAUGUUUGGAAAAGAAUCCAUAAACCUUAUUCCAACUGUGAGCAACCUAAUCUUGUUUGUUCUCUUAUUAUUUUUAUUUUGAGCGCUUAAAAUUACAGCUAAAAAUGUAAACAACCUAUAAUUUACUAGUGGCAAAAUGAAGUCAAACCGAUAAACUAGUCAGAAAAAAAUGCAACCGCAAACCUUUCGAACUUGUCUGACUAAAAACUCAAAUGCAAAAGUCAAAUCCAACAAAAAUUCAAAUCCUAAAUAACCCAAAUAAAAAAAACUUAACUUGAAAACAAUUCAAAGUCAGAACUUAAUCCAAACUAACAAGAAAUAAUAAAAUGAUAACAUUUUUCAUAAAAUCUAAAAAAUUCUAACUGGCUUGAUCUUAAACCUGACAAAAAAAAAAAACUAAACACGAUACAGUCCAAACUCGAAACCCAAAAUAAUUUAAACCCAAACUUAUCCAAUUACCACUUCUAAAAAUUACUAGCUCCUUCUUCCGUCUGUUGGCAAUUGUUAUACAACGAAAACCUGAUUUUGCAUGGUUUAGAAAUAUCUUAAGUUUCUGUCAGAAAAGCUCAUAGUAAAAAUUAUCAGUAAUGCCAUUUGGCAUCCAUAAGUUUAAUUUAACCAACCACUCAUACAAAGUAUCAAGAACAAACUAUAUUUCUAAUGCCAAACUCUUCAGCUUAAAUAAUAAACAAGGAGAAAAAAAAUGAAGACACCCAAAAAUUGGAAAGAAUAUUGGAAAAUAAUUACAACAAUCAAAUGAAAGGCAUGCAUGCAAGCUCAGCACUUUUACUUUCAAUUUGGUUCUUCCCUCCAAAACAAGUAUUCUUGGUGAAGGUCGCUAUAAUAACCCCUCUUUUAAGGUAUCUUACAUUUAAUUUUAGGCUUCUAUAACAAAAGCUACUUUCGAAUUUUCAUCUUUUGGUGACAGUAAGUGCUUAGCAAGUGCUUCUCUUGUAUUAUAAUUUUUUCAAUAAAUACAUGAGAAAUGGUAUUAAUAGUAAAAUCUCAUUUUUCCUUAAUUAGAUCAAUAUUCAUAUGUAUAAUUAAUUAAAAAUGAUGUGUGCAACUAUGCAUAUAUAACUAAUUAAAUAUAAAGCAUUAAUAGUAAAAUCUCAUUUUUCCUUAAUUAGAUCAAUAUUCAUAUGUAUAAUUAAUUAAAAAUGAUGUGUGCAACUAUGCAUAAAUAACUAAUUAAAUAUAAAUAUACCUAACCAUAUAAAUAUUCAUAUCUAAUUAAAAAUGGUGCGUGCAAUUAUGUAUAUAUAACUAAUUAAAUAUAAAUAUACCUAACCAUAUAAAUAUUCAUAUGUAUAACUAAUUAAAAAUGGUGUGUGCAAUUGUGUAUAUAUAACUAAUUAAAUAUUCAUAUAUAUAACUAAUUAAAAAUGUAUAAAUAUACUUAUAAAUAUACCUAAUCAUAUAAAUAUAUUCAUAUGCAUAACUAAUUAAAAAUGUACACACACAUAAAUAUACCUAACCAUAUCAAUAUUCAUAUGUAUAACUAAUUAAAAAUAGUGUGUGCAACCAUGUAUAUAUAACUAAUUAAAAAUGCUGUGUGUAACUGUGUAUAUACCAUAUCAUUAUUCAUAUGUAUAACUAAUUAAAAAUAGUGUGUGCAACUAUGUAUAUAUAACUAAUUAAAAAUUGUGUGUGUGACUGUGUAUAUACCAAACCCUAUAAAUAUUCAUAUUUAUAACCACAUCUAAUUUCACAACAAAAAUGGUGGAUGCCAUCCAAAUUUAUAACAAGACAGGUUUUGAUUAUUAAGCAAAUUAGACUAUUUAUCGUUUUUAAGGUAAUGAUAUGUUGGCUCCAAAUAAAUUAAACAAAUUAGACUCAGUUUGCUUACUAAAAUAAUUUGCUUACUAAAACAAAUUAAACAAAAAAUUUUACAACAAGAUAGAUUUUGAUUGUAAAAAACAUGGAAAUAGGUAAUCAGCAAUACAAGUUAGGUGAUUUUUCAGUCUCAUCCAAAUUUAUGAAAGAUGCAGAUCAUAGUAAUUUUCACAUGUCUUGUUACAUUGACUUAAGACUCAUUUUAAAAAUUGCCAAGCAACUAAUCUUCAAGACAAAAAAAGACAAAUUAAAAUGUUAGAAAUUAAUAAAAAAAACUCAUAAAUGGUAGGAAAAUAUUAUUCUUCUCUAAAUAAUUAAAGUUUUAGAUUACCAGCAUAGCAAGCAGUCUCCAACUCCUUACUUUCAACAUAUAUUAUGCACUUAUAGUAGCAUUUUAAUUGUAAAAGCAUUUAUCCAAUCGAUAACCCAAAACAGAACAUUGAUUUCAUUUACACUAAUCACUUCACAGAAGUGAAUCAUGUAUCUAAUGUCCCUCUCACUUUUGUAGGUAUACAAAUAUAAUUCUACAUUGCUAUAUAAUGUGAAAGAGAAAUAAUGAUUUGAUAAUGUUCACAUUCUAAUUACAAAGUGUAUCAAUAAAAGAAAAAAGCUAUAAAAUGCCAAUAAAAGGAAAUUUUAUUUAUGCUUUUUAGUGGUUACUAUUUACAGAGGAAUGGACAGUAGAGGAAAUGGACAAUAAAGUGGGAAUGGGAAUUCAAGGAAGGAACAUAAAAAAUUACUAGAAAUUUGCAAAGGCUCAAUAAAAUAAAAAAGCUAUAAAAUACCAAUAAAAAAAAACCAGUCACCAAACAUAAUUCUAAGUCUAAAUAAAAAAUCCUCGUUUGACUAUAUUAGGGCAAGCCAAUCAAAAUUUGGACACUCAACUUCUGAUACUACAAGCAAUAUUCCAACAAGAACUGAAAUUCCAAGGCAGACCCUAAAAUGUCAUUAGAGUCAAAAAUUUUAUUCCUAUCAACCAAUAGUACCUAUAAGCUAUAAAUGAGAUUAAAGGACUAACAAAACAAUCUCUUAAUAAAAGAAAAUAUCUCGCUCAAAAUUGAAAAAUUAUAACGCAAUUGCCUAAACCUUAAAUCUAUUACAAUGAAAAGAGCCAUUGGUGAGAAUCAAUGGCAUGCUCAAUGACACAAAAUUGAAUGUAGAAAAUGAAAAAUAUCUUAGAGAGUGACAAGAGUCUUGAUGCUUCAACUUUGAUUGAACUAUAAAACAAAAUGGGUACUGAUAGGUUUAAGUUUAUAGAGUCAGUGAGAGGUGGAGAAAGUUAGUGAGAGGUAGAUAUUAGGCCAUGAGUACCGAUGGAUUUAAGUAUAUAGAGUCGGUGGGAGGUGAAGAUAAAGAAAUUGAAUUAAAAAAGCUGAUGGGAUUUAAUUUCAUAAACCUAAUUUUUUUCCCAAAUAAAAGCUAGUAAUUUUUUUUUGUUUUGGCCCUAUACUAAUAGUUACAAUAAUAACCGUCCCGUCAAUAUAUAAUAUAUUUAUACUGACGGAUAGUCAUAUACCGUUAGAAAAAGUUUAUUUAUACCAACGAUUAAAUAAAAUAUUAGUAUAAGUAUAGUAUAUUCUAACGAUAUUAAAAAUUUAUCAGUAAAAAUCUCUUUUACUAAUGUAAUUUGACCGUCAGUAUAACCAAGCAUUAGUAUACGAAAAAUUUUUUAUAAUGAGUAAUGCAUAUUAUAAAUAUGAUGUUGAAAGUGUAUGAAAGUUAGUUAUUAUAAACACAUCAACUCAAAACAAAUUUCAAUAAUAAUUUCUAUAUUUCUUAACCUUAAUAUACAAUUUUAAUCUAAAAAUAUUUUCAUUAUUUAUUAAAUAAAAUUUUUAGAUUUUAAAUGUUAAAUAACAAUAACAUAUAUACAUAAAAAUAAUUCUCAAUAUUUAAUAAUAAAAGUAUUAUUUGAUAUAAAAAUAGCUUUACUAAUUUUUAACUCGUUAACAAAAAUAUUAUUUGAUAUUAAAUAAUUUUUAAUUUAAAAAUAUCAAAUAUAUAUUAUAGAUUUAUUGUAUAUAAGUUUUAAUCUAAUAUCCAUAAUGAUCAUUUUCUAUUCUCAUUACACUUUAUCUCACUGCUACUGUUGCUUUUGCAUUUAAACAUAUACCUUACCACUGACUUUAAUCUCAUCAUUAUAGUACCUAACCUCACUGCCACUUUAGUUUUCAAUUUCACCAAAACUAAUCUCAUUGUCUAUCUAAAUUUCACCAAAACUAAUCUCAUUGUCUAUCUAAAUGAACACUAAGAUUAAGAUGAAUCUACUGAAAUGUGCCUUCGGUGUCUCAACAAAAGCAAACUUGAUUUUUUUUUUUUUUUUGUUAAUUGGUAAUUGGUCAAGCUUAAAAAGAGAGUACCUUUUUCAUUUUCAAUCAAAAUCGAGGUGAAUAAGUGCUUUGAGUUGCUCCAUCAUCAACCACUAGUAAUGGUUUCUUCAAUUCUAAUGGGAAUCUUUAUU
This 30464-nucleotide long non-coding RNA is filed under the name Durio zibethinus. RNAcentral's name for it is "long non-coding RNA (DZIB_LNC002332)". Lineage: Eukaryota; Viridiplantae; Streptophyta; Magnoliopsida; Malvales; Malvaceae. The record is from RNAcentral.